This 548-nucleotide ribosomal RNA is filed under the name uncultured bacterium. RNAcentral describes it as "bacterial SSU rRNA". It matches the Rfam family "Bacterial small subunit ribosomal RNA", at positions 355 to 894 of the family's 1533-position model. The record is from RNAcentral.
UAGGGAAUCUUCCGCAAUGGGCGAAAGCCUGACGGAGCAACGCCGCGUGAGUGAUGAAGGUCUUCGGAUCGUAAAACUCUGUUAUUAGGGAAGAACAUAUGUGUAAGUAACUGUGCACAUCUUGACGGUACCUAAUCAGAAAGCCACGGCUAACUACGUGCCAGCAGCCGCGGUAAUACGUAGGUGGCAAGCGUUAUCCGGAAUUAUUGGGCGUAAAGCGCGCGUAGGCGGUUUUUUAAGUCUGAUGUGAAAGCCCACGGCUCAACCGUGGAGGGUCAUUGGAAACUGGAAAACUUGAGUGCAGAAGAGGAAAGUGGAAUUCCAUGUGUAGCGGUGAAAUGCGCAGAGAUAUGGAGGAACACCAGUGGCGAAGGCGACUUUCUGGUCUGUAACUGACGCUGAUGUGCGAAAGCGUGGGGAUCAAACAGGAUUAGAUACCCUGGUAGUCCACGCCGUAAACGAUGAGUGCUAAGUGUUAGGGGGUUUCCGCCCCUUAGUGCUGCAGCUAACGCAUUAAGCACUCCGCCUGGGGAGUACGACCGCAAGNU